AUACGUAGGUCCCGAGCGUUGUCCGGAUUUAUUGGGCGUAAAGCGAGCGCAGGCGGUUUAAUAAGUCUGAAGUUAAAGGCAGUGGCUUAACCAUUGUUCGCUUUGGAAACUGUUAGACUUGAGUGCAGAAGGGGAGAGUGGAAUUCCAUGUGUAGCGGUGAAAUGCGUAGAUAUAUGGAGGAACACCGGUGGCGAAAGCGGCUCUCUGGUCUGUAACUGACGCUGAGGAUCGAAAGCGUGGGGAGCAAACAGGAUUAGAUACCCGGGUAGUCCACGCCGUAAACGAUGAGUGCUAGGUGUUAGGCCCUUUCCGGGGCUUAGUGCCGCAGCUAACGCAUUAAGCACUCCGCCUGGGGAGUACGACCGCAAGGUUGAAACUCAAAGGAAUUGACGGGG
RNAcentral lists this ribosomal RNA (396 nucleotides) under uncultured bacterium. RNAcentral's name for it is "partial 16S ribosomal RNA". It matches the Rfam family "Bacterial small subunit ribosomal RNA", at positions 523 to 918 of the family's 1533-position model. The record is from RNAcentral.